AAAGCAGGGAUUGUGUGUAUCGGCGUUGUGCCAUGAUGAAUGCACUACGUAUCCGAAAGAGUUCCCUGCAAAACUAACCAGGGGAAGAUGGGCAGUUGUGGUUCAUUUUCCGCCGUUGAUUUCUCAACAAUCAUCUUCCCCACAUUU
Mangifera indica (mango) is the source of this 147-nucleotide small nucleolar RNA. RefSeq annotates it as small nucleolar RNA snoR135. Lineage: Eukaryota; Viridiplantae; Streptophyta; Magnoliopsida; Sapindales; Anacardiaceae. The record is from RefSeq and is a predicted model, not a curated record. The transcript has a single exon.